Molecule: non-coding RNA, 148 nt
Filed under: Gorilla gorilla gorilla (western lowland gorilla)
Lineage: Eukaryota; Metazoa; Chordata; Mammalia; Primates; Hominidae
Source: Rfam by way of RNAcentral
GCCAGGUGCAGUGCUGCGCACCUGUAAUCCUAGCUACUCAGGAGGCUGAGGCAGGAGACUUGCUUGAACCCGGGAGGCAGAGGUUGCAGUGAGCAGAGAUGACGCCACUGCACUCCAGCCUGGGCAACAGAGCAAGACUCUGUCUCAA